This 394-nucleotide transfer-messenger RNA is filed under the name Flavobacteriaceae. RNAcentral describes it as "UBA3537 sp002690085 Standard tmRNA". It matches the Rfam family "transfer-messenger RNA". Rfam says of the family: Bacterial tmRNA, also known as 10Sa RNA or SsrA, is named for its dual tRNA and mRNA-like properties. Its role is to liberate the mRNA from a stalled ribosome. Lineage: Bacteria; Pseudomonadati; Bacteroidota; Flavobacteriia; Flavobacteriales. RNAcentral also lists the same sequence under 1 other name. The record is from RNAcentral.
GGGGUCGACUGGUAUUGACAGCAGGAUCUAUGGAAUUGUAAGCACGUCGUGUCAUGGUAUUGAAACACGUUAAAGGCCAUACCAACAUUUAAACGGCGAGAAUAACUACGCUUUAGCUGCUUAAUCCGAAUUAUAGUAGGAUGAGCCUCGGCACACAAGGUGUGCAAGCUUUAUGUCUCCUGAAAGCCUUGAUUCAUGGCGUUCAAUUUUGAGACAUCGUAAAUAUGGAUCUAGAAAUUCUAAGGCUUUGGUAGGAUUUUGAAAUUAAAGAAGCUAAGAUUUAAAUGGGCGGUUUUUAGUCAGUUUAUUUCCGACAAUUAAUUAAAAACUAAACGUGUAGAAAGCACUUUUUUAGCUUGUUUGGACGAGGGUUCGAUUCCCUCCGACUCCACCA